Molecule: ribosomal RNA, 516 nt
Filed under: Triticum aestivum (bread wheat)
Lineage: Eukaryota; Viridiplantae; Streptophyta; Magnoliopsida; Poales; Poaceae
Description: partial small subunit ribosomal RNA
Source: RNAcentral
AUGGAGGAGGGCGGCAUAUCAGCGGCGCCGGUGAUGGCGUGUGUUGCUUAUUUAUGCUCAAGUGGUGUUCGUGCUAGGGCGAUGAUGAUUACCUUGGCUGGAAUUAGUGUGCCUUUCAGCAAUCGAGGCACCUGUGGGUAUCAAGUUGGAUCCUCCCUCUUGUCUCUAGAAUCCUUUUUGGUCAUUAUUCACAUUGAGAUGAAAGGUUAUAACUACUACAUCUUCGAGCAGGAUUCACAUUUCCUUGUCUGGCGCCCAGCAGGCUCGCCGCAAGUACAGCUACGCCGCCGCCUCCCUGGGGGGCUGCAAGGUGAAGUGGACGGCCGAGGAGAAGCCACACGGUGGGGCUGGGCUCUCAAGUGGGAGGCGGAGCUCGCCUCCCCCAACGACGACCGCUUCGAUUGCAAGUGGAAGUGGGAGCCCAAGUCCAAGCCCGGUGCCGCCGGCAAGGCCAAGACCAAGCUCGAGGAAGCCAGCGAGGAUGACAAGAAUAAGCCGGAGAGGAAGUGCACAUAG